GGGGUUGUAGCUCAGUGGUAGAGCUAAGCACUCUAUCGCUUGCUUAGCACCUAUGAGGCAUUGGGUUCAAUCCCCAGCACCA
Molecule: transfer RNA, 82 nt
Filed under: Ictidomys tridecemlineatus (thirteen-lined ground squirrel)
Lineage: Eukaryota; Metazoa; Chordata; Mammalia; Rodentia; Sciuridae
Description: Spermophilus tridecemlineatus (thirteen-lined ground squirrel) tRNA
Rfam family: tRNA
About the family: Transfer RNA (tRNA) molecules are approximately 80 nucleotides in length. Their secondary structure includes four short double-helical elements and three loops (D, anti-codon, and T loops). Further hydrogen bonds mediate the characteristic L-shaped molecular structure. tRNAs have two regions of fundamental functional importance: the anti-codon, which is responsible for specific mRNA codon recognition, and the 3' end, to which the tRNAs corresponding amino acid is attached (by aminoacyl-tRNA synthetases). tRNAs cope with the degeneracy of the genetic code in two manners: having more than one tRNA (with a specific anti-codon) for a particular amino acid; and 'wobble' base-pairing, i.e. permitting non-standard base-pairing at the 3rd anti-codon position.
Source: Rfam by way of RNAcentral